AAAACCGAACCAAAAUUUUUAUAAUAUAAAACCGAAUCGAACCAAUUGAAUUUUAAAAUCGAACCGAUUUAGUUCGGUUCGAUUUUUUAGUUUGAGCCGAAAUCUGCUCACCCCUACUUUCUGUUCAUGAAUAAUGAUUUAGGAUCUUGUAUUUGAUCAGAAUUCAAUUUAAGGUGAGGCAAUGAUAUUAGUAAUGAGGCCAAUACCUGAUUUUUCUGCAUUUCCAUAAU
This 230-nucleotide unclassified non-coding RNA is filed under the name Hevea brasiliensis (rubber tree). The record is from RNAcentral. Lineage: Eukaryota; Viridiplantae; Streptophyta; Magnoliopsida; Malpighiales; Euphorbiaceae.